This 75-nucleotide transfer RNA is filed under the name Candidatus Ureaplasma intestinipullorum. Its description in RNAcentral is "tRNA-Cys". It matches the Rfam family "tRNA". From Rfam's summary of the family: Transfer RNA (tRNA) molecules are approximately 80 nucleotides in length. Their secondary structure includes four short double-helical elements and three loops (D, anti-codon, and T loops). Further hydrogen bonds mediate the characteristic L-shaped molecular structure. tRNAs have two regions of fundamental functional importance: the anti-codon, which is responsible for specific mRNA codon recognition, and the 3' end, to which the tRNAs corresponding amino acid is attached (by aminoacyl-tRNA synthetases). tRNAs cope with the degeneracy of the genetic code in two manners: having more than one tRNA (with a specific anti-codon) for a particular amino acid; and 'wobble' base-pairing, i.e. permitting non-standard base-pairing at the 3rd anti-codon position. The record is from RNAcentral. Lineage: Bacteria; Bacillati; Mycoplasmatota; Mycoplasmoidales; Mycoplasmoidaceae.
GGUGCCGUAGCCAAGCGGUAAGGUCAGAAGCUGCAACCUUCUUAUGCGUCAGUUCGAAUCUGACCGGCACCUCCA